UGCAAGUCGAACGAACUCUGGUAUUGAUUGGUGCUUGCAUCAUGAUUUACAUUUGAGUGAGUGGCGAACUGGUGAGUAACACGUGGGAAACCUGCCCAGAAGCGGGGGAUAACACCUGGAAACAGAUGCUAAUACCGCAUAACAGCUUGGACCGCAUGGUCCGAGUUUGAAAGAUGGCUUCGGCUAUCACUUUUGGAUGGUCCCGCGGCGUAUUAGCUAGAUGGUGGGGUAACGGCUCACCAUGGCAAUGAUACGUAGCCGACCUGAGAGGGUAAUCGGCCACAUUGGGACUGAGACACGGCCCAAACUCCUACGGGAGGCAGCAGUAGGGAAUCUUCCACAAUGGACGAAAGUCUGAUGGAGCAACGCCGCGUGAGUGAAGAAGGGUUUCGGCUCGUAAAACUCUGUUGUUAAAGAAGAACAUAUCUGAGAGUAACUGUUCAGGUAUUGACGGUAUUUAACCAGAAAGCCACGGCUAACUACGUGCCAGCAGCCGCGGUAAUACGUAGGUGGCAAGCGUUGUCCGGAUUUAUUGGGCGUAAAGCGAGCGCAGGCGGUUUUUUAAGUCUGAUGUGAAAGCCUUCGGCUCAACCGAAGAAGUGCAUCGGAAACUGGGAAACUUGAGUGCAGAAGAGGACAGUGGAACUCCAUGUGUAGCGGUGAAAUGCGUAGAUAUAUGGAAGAACACCAGUGGCGAAGGCGGCUGUCUGGUCUGUAACUGACGCUGAGGCUCGAAAGUAUGGGUAGCAAACAGGAUUAGAUACCCUGGUAGUCCAUACCGUAAACGAUGAAUGCUAAGUGUUGGAGGGUUUCCGCCCUUCAGUGCUGCAGCUAACGCAUUAAGCAUUCCGCCUGGGGAGUACGGCCGCAAGGCUGAAACUCAAAGGAAUUGACGGGGGCCCGCACAAGCGGUGGAGCAUGUGGUUUAAUUCGAAGCUACGCGAAGAACCUUACCAGGUCUUGACAUACUAUGCAAAUCUAAGAGAUUAGACGUUCCCUUCGGGGACAUGGAUACAGGUGGUGCAUGGUUGUCGUCAGCUCGUGUCGUGAGAUGUUGGGUUAAGUCCCGCAACGAGCGCAACCCUUAUUAUCAGUUGCCAGCAUUAAGUUGGGCACUCUGGUGAGACUGCCGGUGACAAACCGGAGGAAGGUGGGGAUGACGUCAAAUCAUCAUGCCCCUUAUGACCUGGGCUACACACGUGCUACAAUGGAUGGUACAACGAGUUGCGAACUCGCGAGAGUAAGCUAAUCUCUUAAAGCCAUUCUCAGUUCGGAUUGUAGGCUGCAACUCGCCUACAUGAAGUCGGAAUCGCUAGUAAUCGCGGAUCAGCAUGCCGCGGUGAAUACGUUCCCGGGCCUUGUACACACCGCCCGUCACACCAUGAGAGUUUGUAACACCCAAAGUCGGUGGGGUAACCUUUUAGGAACCAGCCGCCU
Molecule: ribosomal RNA, 1437 nt
Filed under: Lactiplantibacillus plantarum
Lineage: Bacteria; Bacillati; Bacillota; Bacilli; Lactobacillales; Lactobacillaceae
Description: bacterial SSU rRNA
Rfam family: Bacterial small subunit ribosomal RNA
Source: RNAcentral